RNAcentral lists this ribosomal RNA (497 nucleotides) under uncultured bacterium. RNAcentral describes it as "partial 16S ribosomal RNA". It matches the Rfam family "Bacterial small subunit ribosomal RNA", at positions 28 to 507 of the family's 1533-position model. The record is from RNAcentral.
GAUGAACGCUGGCGGCGUGCCUAAUACAUGCAAGUCGAGCGAACAGACGAGGAGCUUGCUCCUCUGACGUUAGCGGCGGACGGGUGAGUAACACGUGGAUAACCUACCUAUAAGACUGGGAUAACUUCGGGAAACCGGAGCUAAUACCGGAUAAUAUAUUGAACCGCAUGGUUCAAUAGUGAAAGACGGUUUUGCUGUCACUUAUAGAUGGAUCCGCGCCGCAUUAGCUAGUUGGUAAGGUAACGGCUUACCAAGGCGACGAUGCGUAGCCGACCUGAGAGGGUGAUCGGCCACCCUGGAACUGAGACACGGUCCAGACUCCUACGGGAGGCAGCAGUAGGGAAUCUUCCGCAAUGGGCGAAAGCCUGACGGAGCAACGCCGCGUGGGUGAUGAAGGUCUUCGGAUCGUAAAACUCUGUUAUUAGUGAAGAACAAAUGUGUAAGUAACUAUGCACGUCUUGACGGUACCUAAUCAGAAAGCCACGGCUAACUACGUG